This is a long non-coding RNA of Gasterosteus aculeatus aculeatus (three-spined stickleback), 2374 nucleotides long. Lineage: Eukaryota; Metazoa; Chordata; Actinopteri; Perciformes; Gasterosteidae. The record is from Ensembl.
AUUUUCUCAAGUUGCAUAUCCUGUGUCUCCUGAAAAUUCACAGGCCAACUUUGGAUAAAUGCAGUAGACUGAGUGGCCAGAGAAAGCAACGGUCACUGACUUGCCUUGGUUAUACGUGUGGUAUUUCUCCGUUUGUGCGCACCUUUAUAGGCGCGUACACUCCUUGCAUACAGAUACAGAUAACUGGAAUGGGUAGUGUUCAGAGUAAAGGGGAGAUGGGUGAAAACCAUGAGACUAAUAUCCUGCCACUAUUGUGUAAAUUUAUGUCAGAGCGUUAUCCUGGCAGUUUGAAUCAAAUACAAAAAUGGGUUGAAUUGGGGUUUCCUUCAAAGGGGAGUUUGAGUAAGAAUCAAUUGGAGCAGUUGGAAUUGCAACUGAGGGGGAAGGAGAAGAACGAUGCAGCUCAGCAUGCAGGCCUGUCGAGAAGAAAGCAGAAAAAGAAUGUGGUAUUUAAGGCAGAUUGGGAAGCUUUCAAGAUGUGGAAGUAUGAGUCGGAGAGAAGGGAGAGACAGAGGUUGGUAGCAUUUAAUUCAUUAAAGACCAAAUAUCCUACAAAAAGUUCUGAAACGUGUACCCCUUCUAACCCAAAAACACUUUAUCCUUGUUUUUAUGAGUUCCCGAGGAGAUUGGUGGACACGGAUCUGGACUCCCCCCCUCCCCUCACUGCUCCUCCAGCUCCCGCCUUCAUGAGCCCGCAGUCUCCACGGCAGGAAGCAGCACAAACAACCUUUCCUCGGCUUGACAACAGCCCACCAGGAGGGAAGCCAGAUUCAACCUCCAACACCAGCCAGACGACCUUUUCACCUAUUGUGACCCGCUCGCAGGCUCAACAAAGGCGGGCCUUGCUCAGAGAAGAGAAAAAGACGUUGUUCGAUCCUGCAGCUUCUUUUCCAGUGGAGGGGGCGCAAGGGACGAUGCUGGUUCUCAGACCCUGGUCAGAUACCGAUGUGACCAAGGCAAUGAGCCACGUCUGCAGUCCCAAGGACAAUCUUGCUAAGUGGGAGACUGAUUUUCAGCAAUUUGUCAGAAAAUACCAUCCUAGCAUGUCAGAGCUGCGGCGUCUGAUGUGCAGACUUCUGACACAUGACUAUCACAAGGUUCAGAGUGUGUUCAACACCACAAGAAUGGCUGCUCGCCUUAAAGAUCCUGAUUGUGAGCACGGCACAGAUAUGGACAUUAGAAGUGCUGUAGAUGCUCUCAUUGUGUUGGUAAAAGAACAAUUUCCUCUGAGACUGAACCUCCCCACCGUCACCUCUAUGACACCAUGGCCACAAGAAACAUGCAGCUCCUUCCUGGCACGCCUGACGACAGCUUUUGACAUCCACAGUGGCCUUAAGCGACCUGAUCCAAUGGGGGCACAGCCCCUGAUGCCAUAUGAAGUCCAUCUGAAAGAACAUUUUAUAAGCAGAAUGAGACCUGAGCUUAUACGGAUGGUGAAGAGAUCAUGUGUAACCUGGAAAACGUGUGCUCUUGCAGACAUCCUUCAGCACGCUGAACACGCUGAAGAUGAGUUACACAAGAAAAAGGACAAACUAAAAGGUUUGGAAAAGGCUCAGUAUGCAAUUUUUACGUGCUUGCAGUGCCAACAAUUGCCCAAGGCCAACGUGGAAGAGGAAGAGGUUAUGGAAGAGCUCGUGGCAGAGGCAGAUCAGAUCGGACUUACGGGAGUUAUGAUCCAAGCGUGUGUUACAAUUGUGGACAACAAGGACAUUGGCGAGCAGAGUGUCCUGAGCACAUGAGGAUGAGACACAUCACACGUCUGACUGAGGAAGGCAGAGGGAGGGGCGGACCCCAGAGACGGAGCACCCCAUCACGGAGGAGAAAAUGACAGAGAGCUUCAUGACUGUGUCGAAGUCUUGCAGCAGACAUGCAUACCAAGGCCUGAUCUGUUGGACACACCUCUUCCCAAUGCAGAUCUUGAGCUGUUUGUAGACGGCUCCGCUUCUCGCUCACCAGACACGGGCAGCGGUCAGGUUGGGUUUUCAGUGGUUACAUCACACAGCACACUUGUUAGUGGCAGGCUUCCUUCACACUUCUCAGCACAGGCGGUAGAGUUGAUUGCACUUGCCGAGGCAUGUAAAGCAGCUGAAGGUAAAACAGUUAACAUCUUCGCUGAUUCACGUUAUUCUUCUGGUGCGGAGCUCUUUAGAGACACAGGGGGUUUCUUACGUCAUCUGGCAAGCCUAUUGCACAUCAUACCCUUGUGUCGGCUUUUCUGGAUGCCAUUUUACUACCCAGAGCCAUUGCAGUCAUUAAACGUGGAGCUCACACCUCUUCUCUUGACCCUGUAUCUGUAGGAAACAGGGGCGCGGAUGCGGCUGCGAAGAAGGCAGCCUCGCAGGGCUUCCUUUUCCCCCUGGCUCACAUGCUUUCC